This 482-nucleotide ribosomal RNA is filed under the name Salmonella enterica subsp. enterica serovar Derby. RNAcentral describes it as "bacterial LSU rRNA". It matches the Rfam family "Bacterial large subunit ribosomal RNA", at positions 59 to 580 of the family's 2925-position model. Lineage: Bacteria; Pseudomonadati; Pseudomonadota; Gammaproteobacteria; Enterobacterales; Enterobacteriaceae. The record is from RNAcentral.
UGCUAAUCUGCGAUAAGCGCCGGUAAGGUGAUAUGAACCGUUAUAACCGGCGAUACCCGAAUGGGGAAACCCAGUGUGAUUCGUCACACUAUCAUUAACUGAAUCCAUAGGUUAAUGAGGCGAACCGGGGGAACUGAAACAUCUAAGUACCCCGAGGAAAAGAAAUCAACCGAGAUUCCCCCAGUAGCGGCGAGCGAACGGGGAGGAGCCCAGAGCCUGAAUCAGCAUGUGUGUUAGUGGAAGCGUCUGGAAAGGCGCGCGAUACAGGGUGACAGCCCCGUACACAAAAGCGCAUGUGCUGUGAGCUCGAUGAGUAGGGCGGGACACGUGGUAUCCUGUCUGAAUAUGGGGGGACCAUCCUCCAAGGCUAAAUACUCCUGACUGACCGAUAGUGAACCAGUACCGUGAGGGAAAGGCGAAAAGAACCCCGGCGAGGGGAGUGAAAAAGAACCUGAAACCGUGUACGUACAAGCAGUGGGAGC